AUCACCUGGAAAUCUUGUUAAAAUGCGGAUUCUGAUUCACUAGACGUGAGGCUGAGCCCGAGAUUCUGUAUUUCUAACAAGCUCCCAGGUGUUGCUGA
RNAcentral lists this microRNA precursor (98 nucleotides) under Felis catus (domestic cat). RNAcentral's name for it is "mir-544 microRNA precursor family". It matches the Rfam family "mir-544 microRNA precursor family". The record is from Rfam by way of RNAcentral. Lineage: Eukaryota; Metazoa; Chordata; Mammalia; Carnivora; Felidae.